GACGAACGCUGGCGGCGUGCUUAACACAUGCAAGUCGAACGGAAAGGCCCUGCUUUUGUGGGGUGCUCGAGCGGCGAACGGGUGAGUAACACGUGAGUAACCUGCCCUUGACUUUGGGAUAACUUCAGGAAACUGGGGCUAAUACCGGAUAGGAGCUCCUGCUGCAUGGUGGGGGUUGGAAAGUUUCGGCGGUUGGGGAUGGACUCGCGGCUUAUCAGCUUGUUGGUGGGGUAGUGGCUUACCAAGGCUUUGACGGGUAGCCGGCCUGAGAGGGUGACCGGCCACAUUGGGACUGAGAUACGGCCCAGACUCCUACGGGAGGCAGCAGUGGGGAAUAUUGCACAAUGGGCGGAAGCCUGAUGCAGCAACGCCGCGUGCGGGAUGACGGCCUUCGGGUUGUAAACCGCUUUCGCCUGCGACGAAGCGUGAGUGACGGUAAUGGGUAAAGAAGCACCGGCUAACUACGUG
This 468-nucleotide ribosomal RNA is filed under the name uncultured bacterium. RNAcentral's name for it is "partial 16S ribosomal RNA". It matches the Rfam family "Bacterial small subunit ribosomal RNA", at positions 28 to 507 of the family's 1533-position model. The record is from RNAcentral.